GACGAACGCUGGCGGCGUGCUUAACACAUGCAAGUCGAACGGAAAGGCCCUGCUUUUGUGGGGUGCUCGAGUGGCGAACGGGUGAGUAACACGUGAGUAACCUGCCCUUGACUUUGGGAUAACUUCAGGAAACUGGGGCUAAUACCGGAUAGGAGCUCCUGCUGCAUGGUGGGGGUUGGAAAGUUUCGGCGGUUGGGGAUGGACUCGCGGCUUAUCAGCUUGUUGGUGGGGUAGUGGCUUACCAAGGCUUUGACGGGUAGCCGGCCUGAGAGGGUGACCGGCCACAUUGGGACUGAGAUACGGCCCAGACUCCUACGGGAGGCAGCAGUGGGGAAUAUUGCACAAUGGGCGGCAGCCUGAUGCAGCAACGCCGCGUGCGGGAUGACGGCCUUCGGGUUGUAAACCGCUUUCGCCUGUGACGAAGCGUGAGUGACGGUAAUGGGUAAAGAAGCACCGGCUAACUACGUGCCAGCAGCCGCGGUGAUACGUAGGGUGCGAGCGUUGUCCGGAUUUAUUGGGCGUAAAGGGCUCGUAGGUGGUUGAUCGCGUCGGAAGUGUAAUCUUGGGGCUUAACCCUGAGCGUGCUUUCGAUACGGGUUGACUUGAGGAAGGUAGGGGAGAAUGGAAUUCCUGGUGGAGCGGUGGAAUGCGCAGAUAUCAGGAGGAACACCAGUGGCGAAGGCGGUUCUCUGGGCCUUUCCUGACGCUGAGGAGCGAAAGCAUGGGGAGCGAACAGGCUUAGAUACCCCGGUAGUCCACGCUGUAAACGGUGGGUACUAGGUGUGGGGUCCAUUCCACGGGUUCCGUGCCGUAGCUAACGCUUUAAGUACCCCGCCUGGGGAGUACGGCCGCAAGGCUAAAACUCAAAGGAAUUGACGGGGCCCCGCACAAGCGGCGGAGCAUGCGGAUUAAUUCGAUGCAACGCGUAGAACCUUACCUGGGUUUGACAUGGAUCGGGAGCGCUCAGAGAUGGGUGUGCCUCUUUUGGGGUCGGUUCACAGGUGGUGCAUGGCUGUCGUCAGCUCGUGUCGUGAGAUGUUGGGUUAAGUCCCGCAACGAGCGCAACCCUUGUUCACUGUUGCCAGCACGUUAUGGUGGGGACUCAGUGGAGACCGCCGGGGUCAACUCGGAGGAAGGUGGGGAUGACGUCAAGUCAUCAUGCCCUUUAUGUCCAGGGCUUCACGCAUGCUACAAUGGCUGGUACAGAGAGUGGCGAGCCUGUGAGGGUGAGCGAAUCUCGGAAAGCCGGUCUCAGUUCGGAUUGGGGUCUGCAACUCGACCUCAUGAAGUCGGAGUCGCUAGUAAUCGCAGAUCAGCAACGCUGCGGUGAAUACGUUCCCGGG
RNAcentral lists this ribosomal RNA (1343 nucleotides) under uncultured bacterium. RNAcentral's name for it is "16S ribosomal RNA". It matches the Rfam family "Bacterial small subunit ribosomal RNA", at positions 28 to 1378 of the family's 1533-position model. The record is from RNAcentral.